UCGCGGCCUAUCAGCUUGUUGGUGAGGUAAUGGCUCACCAAGGCGACGACGGGUAGCCGGCCUGAGAGGGUGACCGGCCACACUGGGACUGAGACACGGCCCAGACUCCUACGGGAGGCAGCAGUGGGGAAUAUUGCACAAUGGGCGCAAGCCUGAUGCAGCGACGCCGCGUGAGGGAUGACGGCCUUCGGGUUGUAAACCUCUUUCAGUAGGGAAGAAGCGAAAGUGACGGUACCUGCAGAAGAAGCGCCGGCUAACUACGUGCCAGCAGCCGCGGUAAUACGUAGGGCGCAAGCGUUAUCCGGAAUUAUUGGGCGUAAAGAGCUCGUAGGCGGUUUGUCGCGUCUGCCGUGAAAGUCCGGGGCUCAACUCCGGAUCUGCGGUGGGUACGGGCAGACUAGAGUGAUGUAGGGGAGACUGGAAUUCCUGGUGUAGCGGUGAAAUGCGCAGAUAUCAGGAGGAACACCGAUGGCGAAGGCAGGUCUCUGGGCAUUAACUGACGCUGAGGAGCGAAAGCAUGGGGAGCGAACAGGAUUAGAUACCCUGGUAGUCCAUGCCGUAAACGUUGGGCACUAGGUGUGGGGGACAUUCCACGUUUUCCGCGCCGUAGCUAACGCAUUAAGUGCCCCGCCUGGGGAGUACGGCCGCAAGGCUAAAACUCAAAGGAAUUGACGGGGGCCCGCACAAGCGGCGGAGCAUGCGGAUUAAUUCGAUGCAACGCGAAGAACCUUACCAAGGCUUGACAUGAACCGGAAAGACCUGGAAACAGGUGCCCCGCUUGCGGUCGGUUUACAGGUGGUGCAUGGUUGUCGUCAGCUCGUGUCGUGAGAUGUUGGGUUAAGUCCCGCAACGAGCGCAACCCUCGUUCUAUGUUGCCAGCACGUGAUGGUGGGGACUCAUAGGAGACUGCCGGGGCAACUCGGAGGAAGGUGGGGACGACGUCAAAUCAUCAUGCCCCUUAUGUCUUGGGCUUCACGCAUGCUACAAUGGCCGGUACAAAGGGUUGCGAUACUGUGAGGUGGAGCUAAUCCCAAAAAGCCGGUCUCAGUUCGGAUUGGGGUCUGCAACUCGACCCCAUGAAGUCGGAGUCGCUAGUAAUCGCAGAUCGGCAACGCUGCGGUGAAUACGUUCCCGGGCCUUGUACACACCGCCCGUCAAGUCACGAAAGUUGGUAACACCCGAAGCCGGUGGCCUAACCCCUUGUGGGAGGGAGCUGUCGAAGGUGGGGCUGGA
RNAcentral lists this ribosomal RNA (1233 nucleotides) under uncultured Actinomycetes bacterium. Its description in RNAcentral is "bacterial SSU rRNA". It matches the Rfam family "Bacterial small subunit ribosomal RNA", at positions 231 to 1472 of the family's 1533-position model. The record is from RNAcentral. Lineage: Bacteria; Bacillati; Actinomycetota; Actinomycetes.